AGAGUUUGAUCCUGGCUCAGAUUGAACGCUGGCGGCAUGCUUUACACAUGCAAGUCGAACGGCAGCACGGGUGCUUGCACUUGGUGGCGAGUGGCGGACGGGUGAGUAAUACAUCGGAACGUGUCCUAAAGUGGGGGAUAACGCAUCGAAAGAUGUGCUAAUACCGCAUAAUCUCUGAGGAGAAAAGUAGGGGAUCGAAAGACCUUAUGCUUUUGGAGCGGCCGAUGUCUGAUUAGCUAGUUGGUGAGGUAAAGGCUCACCAAGGCAAUGAUCAGUAGUUGGUCUGAGAGGACGACCAGCCACACUGGGACUGAGACACGGCCCAGACUCCUACGGGAGGCAGCAGUGGGGAAUUUUGGACAAUGGGCGAAAGCCUGAUCCAGCAAUGCCGCGUGAGUGAAGAAGGCCUUCGGGUUGUAAAGCUCUUUCAGUCGAGAAGAAAAAAUUAUGACUAAUAAUCAUAAUUCAUGACGGUAUCGGCAGAAGAGCCC
Molecule: ribosomal RNA, 491 nt
Filed under: uncultured Nitrosomonas sp.
Lineage: Bacteria; Pseudomonadati; Pseudomonadota; Betaproteobacteria; Nitrosomonadales; Nitrosomonadaceae
Description: bacterial SSU rRNA
Rfam family: Bacterial small subunit ribosomal RNA
Source: RNAcentral